UACGGAGGAUGCGAGCGUUAUCCGGAUUUCUUGGGUUUAAAGGGUGCGGAGGCGGACUGUCAAGUCAGCGGUAAAAUACGGGGGCUCAACCUCCGCCCGCCGUUGAAACUGGCUGUCUUGAGAUGUCGAGAGGUAUGCGGAAUGCGUGGUGUAGCGGUGAAAUGCAUAGAUAUCACGCAGAACUCCGAUUGCGAAGGCAGCAUACCGGCGCCCGACUGACGCUGAAGCACGAAAGCGUGGGUAUCGAACAGG
This 252-nucleotide ribosomal RNA is filed under the name uncultured Bacteroidales bacterium. Its description in RNAcentral is "partial 16S ribosomal RNA". It matches the Rfam family "Bacterial small subunit ribosomal RNA", at positions 524 to 776 of the family's 1533-position model. Lineage: Bacteria; Pseudomonadati; Bacteroidota; Bacteroidia; Bacteroidales. The record is from RNAcentral.